AACGUGGAGACAGGUGGUGCAUGGCUGUCGUCAGCUCGUGUCGUGAGAUGUUGGGUUAAGUCCCGCAACGAGCGCAACCCUCACCCCUUGUUGCCAUCAGGUCAUGCUGGGCACUCUAGGGGAACUGCCCCGGUCAACGGGGAGGAAGGCGGGGAUGACGUCAAGUCAUCAUGCCCCUUACGUCCUGGGCUACACACGUGCUACAAUGGCCGGUACAAAGGGAUGCCACACCGCGAGGUAGAGCUAAACCCAAAAAGCCGGUCUAAGUUCAGAUUGGAGUCUGCAACUCGACUCCAUGAAGGAGGAAUCGCUAGUAAUCGCGUAUCAGCACGACGCGGUGAAUACGUUCCCGGGCCUUGUACACACCGCCCGUCACACCACGAAAGCCAGCUGUACUCGAAGUCGCUGAG
Molecule: ribosomal RNA, 410 nt
Filed under: uncultured Methylomirabilota bacterium
Lineage: Bacteria; Methylomirabilota (SeqCode)
Description: bacterial SSU rRNA
Rfam family: Bacterial small subunit ribosomal RNA
Source: RNAcentral